Molecule: ribosomal RNA, 353 nt
Filed under: Ceraclea resurgens
Lineage: Eukaryota; Metazoa; Arthropoda; Insecta; Trichoptera; Leptoceridae
Description: eukaryotic LSU rRNA
Rfam family: Eukaryotic large subunit ribosomal RNA
Source: RNAcentral
CCCGUCUUGAAACACGGACCAAGGAGUCUAGCAUGUGCGCGAGUCAUUGGGACUCUAACUAAACCCAGAGGCGUAAUGAAAGUGAAAGGCGGAGCCUCGGUGUUCCGCCUCAAGGGAAGAUGCGCGCUCGUCUCCGUACGGGCCGCCGCAUUCCCGAGGCGUUUCGAGAAAGCCACCGUGCGAUUAUCGAGACGCACUGAGAGCGUACACGCUGGGACCCGAAAGAUGGUGAACUAUGCCUGGUCAGGUCGAAGUCAGGGGAAACCCUGAUGGAGGGCCGAAGCGAUUCUGACGUGCAAAUCGAUCGUCUGAUCUGGGUAUAGGGGCGAAAGACUAAUCGAACUAUCUAAUAG